Erinaceus europaeus (western European hedgehog) is the source of this 2088-nucleotide long non-coding RNA. RefSeq lists it as uncharacterized. NCBI's taxonomy places the organism in Eukaryota, Metazoa, Chordata, Mammalia, Eulipotyphla, Erinaceidae. The record is from RefSeq and is a predicted model, not a curated record. The transcript is spliced from 3 exons.
GAUCGCACUGGAUUAAUGACCUGGAAGGCUCUUGAAAGCUAUGAUUCAGACAUCCAGCCGUGUUUCAAUUGUGUUUUGAACAGAAGACCCCACGCUCCUCUCCAUCCGUCACCUCUCAGGAGACAGUGAAGAAUGGGACCUGAUUAUGAGCUAUUGUGGGUAAGAGUGAUUUCGAUCUUUUUCUUUUUCCAGGAUUCAUUGUCCUCUGAGUGAGUGGGUGCUUGGUCCCUGUUUGCUGAUUGGAGAAAGCAAUGAAUGGAAGUUGCUUCAUGGCUGAGAUGCUUGGGAAGAUCCCAGAGCUAGACGGGAUGACUUCUCUCAGCCUCAACACCUUUGCAGAGAAAGGAGGGUCCCUCAAGGAGCCAAGGGAUGGGAGGGGGAAGAUGGGCAACAGAGGCAGGAAGCUCCACCUUGGCUGUAGACAUGGGGCCACUGGGCUGCUACUGGUGGUGAUCCUGCCACAGGGGGCUGGAUUUGGCUGGGUAAAGAAGUAACUGCUAAGAAUGAAGUUAUUGACAACACAGCACAGUGACACCCCUCAGUCACUCCCCCCCCCCCUGAAGUCCUUCUACUGCAGGAGAACAGGGUCUGGCCUCCCUACUGCACCUCAGCCUGGGUUCUCGCUUCAGUCUCUCAUGCCAGGAAGAGAAAUGACACUCUGGAUGGCAGCUGAGAAGACAAAGUGAGAAAUGCAGGUGAGAACUUGUGCACGAAGCUUGUCAUAUACCAGCUCUCCUUGCUGCUGAUUGUUGUCAUCUCUGUUUCGCUUCAAGCUGCUCAAUCUCAUCAUCACUUCUGGCAGCUUCAUCUGCCAGCUGACUCCCGGGGAGCUGCCUGUCAGUUAAACCUCAGCCUCUUUCAUGUGAAUUCUGGCCCUUCCUGUAAAGGAAACACACUGAGAGAAGACCCUCAAUGGUGCCUCAUGCUCUUUCUUGUGGCUGGGUACCCACAGACUUCCCCCAGAUGAUGCCCCAAGCCUGGCAUCCCUUCAAUGGCCUCAGGUUGUAUCAGUAACAUCAUCAGCUACUCAGUCUUCUGAGAAAAAGAGCUCCAUCAGGUGUGAGAGGCAGCUGGACUCCACAAACACAAAGGCGUGUACCUGUCCAUCAGAGUGUGGAUCAUGCCCAUUGCUUGGCUGGCAGGUGGAUUUGGUUUCUGACCAAGAGGGAAAAGAAAAGCUAUGAAAGAGAUCACAACUACGAGACAACAGAGGGAGAAAAAAAAAAAGACUCCAAGUACAUUUCCAAAUAAUACUAGACUAGAGAGAAAAACAAUAAUGCUUCCUUUUUAUUGUUAACAUUAUUCUGAAAAGUCUGACCAAAAUAUGAAGCACAAUUGCAAACCAAAACUAUGCUAACAAAGAGAGGGAAAAAACUACAAAUUGAUGUCCUUUAUAUAACCAGAAAACUGAAGUUAAAUUAUAGAGCUAAUGAGUAUUAAGUAAAAUUACUGUAUAUAAGAUAGAUUUUUCCUUUAUUUUAUAGGACAGAGAGAAGUUAAGAGAGGAGUGAGAAAUGCAAAAGAGGGAAAUAGAGAUACCUGCAGUAUUGCUUCACUGCUUGUGAAACUUUCCCCAAGCAGGUGGGGAGCAGGGACUUAACCCUAGGUCCUGGUGCAUGGUAACAUGUACACUAAACCAAAUGCAUCAGCUAACCCCCAAUAAAUACUCUUAAAGUACUGGUAUUCCUAUACAUAAGACAAUAAAUAGGAAUUAUCAUAAUUGAAAUAGGUCAUUCAUAAUAACAAUAAAAAUGUAAAACGACUGAGAAUAAUCUUAAAGGAGACAUUUUUUGAUGCAUCUGACAGAAAUUAUGUUUACAGAGAUGUAGAAGAUACUUGAUAUGUAGAAAGUCAUGCCAUAUUCUUGGAUAGAAAGAUUAAAUGUUAAUACACUAGUCCUCCAGAAUUUAUUUAUGGCUAUAGUGAAAUUCUGAUUUUACAAUAUCCUACUGUUCUUGUACUAUGGAAAAGGUAGAAGGCAAUAAAAAAAUUUGAGGGUUGGGCGUAGCGUAGCGGGUUAAAUGCACAUGGUGCAAAGCUCAAGGACUGGAGUAAAGAUCCCAUUUCGAGCCCCCAGCUCCCCACCUG